AGUGGGUCGGAGGUUCGAAUCCUCUCUCGCCGACCAAUUUUGAACCCCGCUUCGGCGGGGUUUUUUGUUUUCUGUGC
RNAcentral lists this transfer RNA (77 nucleotides) under Escherichia coli K-12. Its description in RNAcentral is "tRNA-Pro". Lineage: Bacteria; Pseudomonadati; Pseudomonadota; Gammaproteobacteria; Enterobacterales; Enterobacteriaceae. The record is from RNAcentral.